Molecule: long non-coding RNA, 540 nt
Organism: Plutella xylostella (diamondback moth)
Lineage: Eukaryota; Metazoa; Arthropoda; Insecta; Lepidoptera; Plutellidae
Source: RefSeq, a predicted model, not a curated record
GAAGAGGGAAUUGGCAAUAAACCGAAAAUUUUAAGGACACGCAGUGAGCCACUUAAUCUACCCGACGAGGAGUUCAGAAAAAAAUUAGGCUCAUCCGACUACAAUUUAGCAGGUUGUGCGAAUAAGCAGCUGAUUUAAAGAUUCUUGCUGCUGUUGCCUUUUAUGGGAAUGGAAUGUACUUACCAGAAAAAAAUUGUGGCCUAGUAUCACCUAACUAUAUAGGCCUCUCGCAUAAAAAAGUACCUAUAAUAUUAUGUUUUCAUUUGUUGCAUUUAUUACCUAAACAUGGCAAUUUUAAUAAUUUACCUUAGAUCUACAUAAAAAUCACAGUUAAGGGGCGAGUUGGCGUUCCUAGUUCCUGCUCAAAGGCGAGUCGUCGCUCCUCCACGGCGAGUUGUUGCGUCUCCACAGCCAGCCGACGCUCCUCAAAGUCGAUGCGACGAUCCGUCUGGCGGAGCCGACGCUCCUCCAGCUCCACGAGCCGAGCACGUACCGCCUAACCAACCCCUUCCGACAGCUGAAAAUAAAAAUUAUAUGUUA